CGAUCUCAAAUCAAGUUAGACUACCCGCUGAACUUAAGCAUAUCAAUAAGCGAAGGAAA
RNAcentral lists this ribosomal RNA (59 nucleotides) under fungal sp. WD12a. RNAcentral's name for it is "partial 28S ribosomal RNA". It matches the Rfam family "Eukaryotic large subunit ribosomal RNA", at positions 1 to 59 of the family's 3401-position model. Lineage: Eukaryota; Fungi. The record is from RNAcentral.